Molecule: ribosomal RNA, 441 nt
Filed under: uncultured bacterium
Lineage: Bacteria
Description: bacterial SSU rRNA
Rfam family: Bacterial small subunit ribosomal RNA
Source: RNAcentral
CCUANGGGAGGCUGCAGUGGGGAAUCUUGCACAAUGGGCGAAAGCCUGAUGCAGCGAUUCCGCGUGGAGGAUGAAGCAUUACGGUGUGUAAACUCCUUUUCUGGUGGAAGACGAAUGACGGUACACCAGGAAUAAGGGACGGCUAACUACGUGCCAGCAGCCGCGGUAAUACGUAGGUCCCGAGCGUUAUCCGGAUUUACUGGGCGUAAAGAGUUCGUAGCCUGAUGGAUAAGUCUGUUUUCAAAUACCUCGACUCAAUCGAGGAAAGGGGAUAGAUACUGUUUAUCUAGAGAUAUUUGGGGGUUAGUGGAAUUUCGGGUGGAGCGGUGAAAUGCGUUGAUAUCCGAAAGAACGCCGAAAGCGAAAGCAGCUAACUACAAUACAUCUGACGGUGAGGAACGAAAGCUUGGGGAGCAAACGGGAUUAGAUACCCCANUANUC